This 430-nucleotide ribosomal RNA is filed under the name uncultured bacterium. Its description in RNAcentral is "partial 16S ribosomal RNA". It matches the Rfam family "Bacterial small subunit ribosomal RNA", at positions 29 to 506 of the family's 1533-position model. The record is from RNAcentral.
AACGAACGCUGGCGGCAGGCUUAACACAUGCAAGUCGAGCGCCUCGCAAGAGGAGCGGCAGACGGGUGAGUACCGCGUGGGAACGUACCCUUAUCUUCGGAAUAGCUCUGGGAAACUGGAAGUAAUACCGAAUGUGCCCUUAGGGGGAAAGAUUUAUCGGAUAAGGAUCGGCCCGCGUUGGAUUAGCUAGUUGGUGGGGUAAAGGCCUACCAAGGCGACGAUCCAUAGCUGGUCUGAGAGGAUGAUCAGCCACAUUGGGACUGAGACACGGCCCAAACUCCUACGGGAGGCAGCAGUGGGGAAUAUUGGACAAUGGGCGCAAGCCUGAUCCAGCCAUGCCGCGUGAGUGAUGAAGGCCUUAGGGUUGUAAAGCUCUUUCACCGGAGAAGAUAAUGACGGUAUCCGGAGAAGAAGCCCCGGCUAACUUCGU